This 253-nucleotide ribosomal RNA is filed under the name uncultured bacterium. RNAcentral's name for it is "partial 16S ribosomal RNA". It matches the Rfam family "Bacterial small subunit ribosomal RNA", at positions 524 to 776 of the family's 1533-position model. The record is from RNAcentral.
UACAGAGGUGGCAAGCGUUGUUCGGUAUCACUGGGCUUAAAGGGCGCGUAGGUGGUUCAGCAAGUCGGUUGUGAAAUCCCUCGGCUUAACCGAGGAAUUGCAUCCGAUACUACUGGACUUGAGGCUCGUAGGGGAGAGUGGAACUCCAGGUGUAGUGGUGAAAUACGUAGAUAUCUGGAAGAACGCCGGUGGCGAAGGCGACUCUCUGGGCGAGUUCUGACACUAAGGCGCGAAAGCCAGGGGAGCGAACGGG